AUUAAACGCUGGCGGCAUGCCUUACACAUGCAAGUCGAGCGGCAGCGCGGGGGCAACCCUGGCGGCGAGCGGCGAACGGGUGAGUAACAUAUCGGAACGUACCCCGUCGUGGGGGAUAACACAGCGAAAGCUGUGCUAAUACCGCAUACGACCUGAGGGUGAAAGCGGGGGAUCGCAAGACCUCGCGCGAUGGGAGCGGCCGAUAUCGGAUUAGCUUGUUGGUGAGGUAAAGGCUCACCAAGGCGACGAUCCGUAGCUGGUCUGAGAGGACGACCAGCCACACUGGAACUGAGACACGGUCCAGACUCCUACGGGAGGCAGCAGUGGGGAAUUUUGGACAAUGGGGGCAACCCUGAUCCAGCCAUUCCGCGUGAGUGAAGAAGGCC
This 386-nucleotide ribosomal RNA is filed under the name uncultured bacterium. RNAcentral's name for it is "bacterial SSU rRNA". It matches the Rfam family "Bacterial small subunit ribosomal RNA", at positions 29 to 416 of the family's 1533-position model. The record is from RNAcentral.